GGACAAAAUAAGAUCUCUUUCUUUUUCACAUUCUAUUUAAUAAUCAAUGUUCAUCCAUGCUCUUAUCCCAUGCAAAUUAUGUUUCUAAUGAUGUUCACAAAUCUGAUUGCAAACACAUACAGGGAUGAAAAAAAGAGAGCAAUUUUAAAUAUGUGAAGAUCAUUGUAGUCUGACUUUUUAAAGGCAGUACAUCACAUUGUGGAAAUCUUCAGAAACUAAUUAU
This 223-nucleotide unclassified non-coding RNA is filed under the name Hevea brasiliensis (rubber tree). Lineage: Eukaryota; Viridiplantae; Streptophyta; Magnoliopsida; Malpighiales; Euphorbiaceae. The record is from RNAcentral.